Molecule: ribosomal RNA, 1428 nt
Filed under: uncultured organism
Description: 16S ribosomal RNA
Rfam family: Bacterial small subunit ribosomal RNA
Source: RNAcentral
CACAUGCAAGUCGAGGGGCAGCAUGGUCUUUUCUUGCUAAGGCCGAUGGCGACCGGCGCACGGGUGAGUAACACGUAUCCAACCUGCCGUCUACUCUUGGACAGCCUUCUGAAAGGAAGAUUAAUACAAGAUGGCAUCAUGAGUCCGCAUGUUCACAUGAUUAAAGGUAUUCCGGUAGACGAUGGGGAUGCGUUCCAUUAGAUAGUAGGCGGGGUAACGGCCCACCUAGUCUUCGAUGGAUAGGGGUUCUGAGAGGAAGGUCCCCCACAUUGGAACUGAGACACGGUCCAAACUCCUACGGGAGGCAGCAGUGAGGAAUAUUGGUCAAUGGGCGAGAGCCUGAACCAGCCAAGUAGCGUGAAGGAUGACUGCCCUAUGGGUUGUAAACUUCUUUUAUAAAGGAAUAAAGUCGGGUAUGGAUACCCGUUUGCAUGUACUUUAUGAAUAAGGAUCGGCUAACUCCGUGCCAGCAGCCGCGGUAAUACGGAGGAUCCGAGCGUUAUCCGGAUUUAUUGGGUUUAAAGGGAGCGUAGAUGGAUGUUUAAGUCAGUUGUGAAAGUUCGCGGCUCAACCGUAAAAUUGCAGUUGAUACUGGAUAUCUUGAGUGCAGUUGAGGCAGGCGGAAUUCGUGGUGUAGCGGUGAAAUGCUUAGAUAUCACGAAGAACUCCGAUUGCGAAGGCAGCCUGCUAAGCUGCAACUGACAUUGAGGCUCGAAAGUGUGGGUAUCAAACAGGAUUAGAUACCCUGGUAGUCCACACGGUAAACGAUGAAUACUCGCUGUUUGCGAUAUACAGCAAGCGGCCAAGCGAAAGCGUUAAGUAUUCCACCUGGGGAGUACGCCGGCAACGGUGAAACUCAAAGGAAUUGACGGGGGCCCGCACAAGCGGAGGAACAUGUGGUUUAAUUCGAUGAUACGCGAGGAACCUUACCCGGGCUUAAAUUGCAGAUGAAUUACGGUGAAAGCCGUAAGCCGCAAGGCAUCUGUGAAGGUGCUGCAUGGUUGUCGUCAGCUCGUGCCGUGAGGUGUCGGCUUAAGUGCCAUAACGAGCGCAACCCUUGUUGUCAGUUACUAACAGGUUCCGCUGAGGACUCUGACAAGACUGCCAUCGUAAGAUGUGAGGAAGGUGGGGAUGACGUCAAAUCAGCACGGCCCUUACGUCCGGGGCUACACACGUGUUACAAUGGGGGGUACAGAGGGCCGCUACCACGCGAGUGGAUGCCAAUCCCCAAAACCUCUCUCAGUUCGGACUGGAGUCUGCAACCCGACUCCACGAAGCUGGAUUCGCUAGUAAUCGCGCAUCAGCCACGGCGCGGUGAAUACGUUCCCGGGCCUUGUACACACCGCCCGUCAAGCCAUGGGAGCCGGGGGUACCUGAAGUGCGUAACCGCGAGGAGCGCCCUAGGGUAAAACUGGUGACUGGGGCUAA